Molecule: ribosomal RNA, 588 nt
Filed under: Pringsheimia smilacis
Lineage: Eukaryota; Fungi; Ascomycota; Dothideomycetes; Dothideales; Dothioraceae
Description: eukaryotic LSU rRNA
Rfam family: Eukaryotic large subunit ribosomal RNA
Source: RNAcentral
CGGAGGAAAAGAAACCAACAGGGAUUGCCCUAGUAACGGCGAGUGAAGCGGCAAUAGCUCAAAUUUGAAAGCUGGCCUUCUGGUCCGCAUUGUAAUUUGUAGAGGAUGCUUUUAGGCAGCCGCCGGUCUAAGUUCCUUGGAACAGGACGUCAUAGAGGGUGAGAAUCCCGUAUGUGACCGGCUCUGGCACCUUAUGUAAAGCUCCUUCGACGAGUCGAGUUGUUUGGGAAUGCAGCUCUAAAUGGGAGGUAAAUUUCUUCUAAAGCUAAAUACUGGCGAGAGACCGAUAGCGCACAAGUAGAGUGAUCGAAAGAUGAAAAGCACUUUGGAAAGAGAGUUAAAAAGCACGUGAAAUUGUUGAAAGGGAAGCGCUUGCAAUCAGACUUGGACUUGGCUGUUCAACCGGUCUUCUGACCGGCCUAUUCAGUCUUGUCCAGGCCAGCAUCAGUUUCGGCGGCCGGAUAAAGGCCCUGGGAAUGUAGCUGCCUCUUCGGGGGCAGUGUUAUAGCCCAGGGUGUAAUACGGCCAGCUGGGACUGAGGUCCGCGCUUCGGCUAGGAUGCUGGCGUAAUGGUUGUAAGCGGCCCGU